UACGGAGGGAGCUAGCGUUGUUCGGAAUUAUUGGGCGUAAAGAGCUCGUAGGCGGUUUGUUGCGUCGGCCGUGAAAACCUGCAGCUUAACUGUGGGCCUGCGGUCGAUACGGGCAGACUUGAGUUCGGUAGGGGAGACUGGAAUUCCUGGUGUAGCGGUGAAAUGCGCAGAUAUCAGGAGGAACACCGGUGGCGAAGGCGGGUCUCUGGGCCGAUACUGACACUGAAGCACGAAAGCGUGGGGAGCAAACAGG
Molecule: ribosomal RNA, 253 nt
Filed under: uncultured bacterium
Lineage: Bacteria
Description: partial 16S ribosomal RNA
Rfam family: Bacterial small subunit ribosomal RNA
Source: RNAcentral